UUCACUUUGGCGGAGUGGUUAACGCGCUGCCUUGCUAGUGAAUAAUUAGCUAGGCAGUUCCUGCGGGAGCGUAGGUUCGAAUCCUACAAGUGACA
Non-coding RNA from Diplogelasinospora grovesii, 95 nucleotides. The record is from the annotation of a GenBank genome assembly. NCBI's taxonomy places the organism in Eukaryota, Fungi, Ascomycota, Sordariomycetes, Sordariales, Diplogelasinosporaceae.